Molecule: long non-coding RNA, 887 nt
Organism: Scophthalmus maximus (turbot)
Lineage: Eukaryota; Metazoa; Chordata; Actinopteri; Pleuronectiformes; Scophthalmidae
Exons: 2
Source: RefSeq, a predicted model, not a curated record
AUUGAGCACGAGCCACAUCACAGGGAGCCGGGACGGACCAUGGACGAAACAGGAUCACGCAGAAUGAUACAUCUGCUUUCAGGAAGACCGAGGUGGGGGAAAGUGGAGUUGGGGUUUCGUUGGCUCCGACUCACUGGUAAACAAGGGUCCGGAUGCACUUCUCACACCCAGACACAGGAAUGUGAUCUUCUCUAGACUCAACAGAGAAAUGUAACUGCACAACGUCCUAAUAAGAUUUUAAUAAGAGCGGCUACAGUACGUCGUCCUUCGGCUGGUCCUCUUUGUCCUUUUCAGCUCUUUUAAGUGAUCGGGGCGAAGAAAUCCACUUACCUCCUGGAAAACAGCUGCACAGCACCUGGCCCAGAAUCAACAUUCAUCAACAGGUUUUGUAUCUUAGAUUUUUUUCCCCCCUCCUGCUUCAAGGCUUUGAAAGACUUGUUGGUAACGGAGUUUACCUCCUCUACGCCUUCAUAGCCCUGUACAAUGCUGCUUGAUCAAGACGCCACAAGGCAGCACCGUAAAGAGGCUGAACGCAAAGAGGAAUCAGACGACAGGGACACCGGACAGGGAAAGUAUUUUUCUCCACAGACCUGGUUAUAUACAAAGUCUUCUCAAAUCCUGUUAUAACGGCAAUGAGGUCCUGAUACCCAAAGUCUGACUUUAAUACAAACACCAAGCAAACAAGAUAUUGUUCGUAUGAUUCAAUUCAAGACCGUUAUGACUGUUUUAUUAGAAGUUCAUUCUACCCCCGCCCCCCCGGUGACUUACCUCAUUGAGAGCACACAUCCUGGUGAUGGAGCCGAUGUUGUUGGUGAUGGUGACCAGCGUUGCCCUUGCCAGGUCCGCUUUGGACACCGACUCCCUCUUCUCUUUGGACAUCAUGUUGC